Molecule: ribosomal RNA, 206 nt
Filed under: uncultured bacterium
Lineage: Bacteria
Description: partial 16S ribosomal RNA
Rfam family: Bacterial small subunit ribosomal RNA
Source: RNAcentral
AGCGUAGACGGCACGGCAAGCCAGAUGUGAAAGCCCGGGGCUCAACCCCGGGACUGCAUUUGGAACUGCUGAGCUAGAGUGUCGGAGAGGCAAGUGGAAUUCCUAGUGUAGCGGUGAAAUGCGUAGAUAUUAGGAGGAACACCAGUGGCGAAGGCGGCUUGCUGGACGAUGACUGACGUUGAGGCUGAAAGCCAGGGUAGUGAACG